GGCGAAUUGGUCGAGUGGUUAACACUCCGGCCUUCCAAGCAGGCGGCUGGGGUUCGAUCCCCGAAGUCGCCG
This 72-nucleotide transfer RNA is filed under the name Mizuhopecten yessoensis (Yesso scallop). RNAcentral describes it as "tRNA-Gly". It matches the Rfam family "tRNA". From Rfam's summary of the family: Transfer RNA (tRNA) molecules are approximately 80 nucleotides in length. Their secondary structure includes four short double-helical elements and three loops (D, anti-codon, and T loops). The record is from Rfam by way of RNAcentral. Lineage: Eukaryota; Metazoa; Mollusca; Bivalvia; Pectinida; Pectinidae.